Molecule: long non-coding RNA, 80 nt
Organism: Etheostoma cragini (Arkansas darter)
Lineage: Eukaryota; Metazoa; Chordata; Actinopteri; Perciformes; Percidae
Exons: 3
Source: RefSeq, a predicted model, not a curated record
CAUCUUCACUUCUUGCUUGUUUAGAGCACUUUUUGCCCUUAAUCUGGUCUUUAGCAAGUCAAACACAUGUUCAGUCUGUC